UACGUAGGGUGCAAGCGUUAUUCGGAAUUACUGGGCGUAAAGCGUGCGCAGGCGGCGGUGUAAGUCAGAUGUGAAAUUCCCGGGCUCAACCUGGGGACUGCGUUUGAUACGGGCGGGCUUGAGUUCGGAAGAGGGUCGUGGAAUUCCCAGUGUAGAGGUGAAAUUCGUAGAUAUUGGGAAGAACACCGGUGGCGAAGGCGGCGACCUGGUCCGAUACUGACGCUGAGGCGCGAAAGCGUGGGGAGCAAACAGG
RNAcentral lists this ribosomal RNA (253 nucleotides) under uncultured bacterium. RNAcentral describes it as "partial 16S ribosomal RNA". It matches the Rfam family "Bacterial small subunit ribosomal RNA", at positions 524 to 776 of the family's 1533-position model. The record is from RNAcentral.